GCGGCAACUAGUUAGCGGCAGUCACGUGGUUAAGUAGCCUGCGCGCGUGUGGCUGCAUGUGUUCAGAGUGUGUGGACAUGACGACCAGGAAAAAAGAAACAAUGCGGCGCCUCAGGUAAAAGGAGUGCAAAGGCAAAACUUGGACUUCACAUGGGAAUGUACUAAGUUGUCGAGCCACACCUUGACGGCAGUGGGCUGAAUCCUCGCCGUGCCCUUAAUGUGGUGCCCCUAAUGUGGUGCUCCAGCUUCCACCUUCACCACCACCACCACGACCACCACUCCCGCAGCAAGGGCACGAUGGCAGUGUUCACCCCAGGAAAGCAUCCCCAGGCUACCCCGCUGGAUGACCCUCCUCGGCGCUUCCCCCGGACGUGAGUAUACUAGAAAUGGCCUCACCUGUGGCUCCUACCUGUUGGGCGUCUGUGUUGCCCUGCACUGGCGCCCGCACAGAUGAUUGACGUAUAUAGUGCACGUGUAGCUUGGGGUACUGCUGUAGUUGUUAUUGUUGUAGUGUGAUCCUCGUAAAGGAAUCAAAUGCAUGUCUUAUUUCCGAGAAUAACAUUGUUACAGUCUUGCUGAAACAAAGUGCUUGUGUCAGAGGCGGCGACCGUAUAGCUUAUUGUUCCACGGGCCAAGCAUUGUUGUAGGAAUCCCUUAGUGGAUCUGUGGAGAAGGGGAGCGGGGCGGGGACAGAUCAGGGUGUGGUACUGAUGUUGACGGGGCGCGGAUGGGGCGUGACGGGUACGUGGAUGUGGACAGGGAAGGGAGAGGAUGUAGAUGGAGUGGUAUGUGAUAGGGCAGGACAGGGAUGGGUAAGGGCACGGCAGAGGUGAGCGAGGCGAUGAUGGCGGGGAUAGGAAUGGGUGGAGCGGAGCGAGGCGGGGCUAGGCAGGGCUAGGCGGGGCGGGGUUGGGCGACCAUUACCCUGCUGAGGACAGGACGCGACCCCUUCCCUUUGUGCGUCGCCGUGCGUCACCCUGCUCGUAAUUCAUACUUGACGCUCCUCCCUCGGGGUGGCGCUCACUCACACACACACACACACACACACACGUACGUACGUAUAUUUG
Scylla paramamosain (green mud crab) is the source of this 1067-nucleotide long non-coding RNA. RefSeq lists it as uncharacterized. The transcript is spliced from 3 exons. The record is from RefSeq and is a predicted model, not a curated record. NCBI's taxonomy places the organism in Eukaryota, Metazoa, Arthropoda, Malacostraca, Decapoda, Portunidae.